UACUUCUUGCUGCUCAUGCCGCUGGGAUUGGGGCGGCGGAAAAAGACGACCCCUCUAGUGGAAAAUGAGGAGGCUGAGCCAGGCCGUGGCGGGCUGGGAGAGGAGGAGCCAGGGCCCCUGGUCGAAGGUAAGGUGGGGUGGGGAGGCCCCAAAUGGGCUUGCCCCCCCCGCCCCCAGCCUUGCGGCCCCGCCUCAUGUUCCACACCCAGCUGGCCCAUGGCAGUCCCACUGGCCACAUCGAGGGCUUCACCAGUGUCAAGGAGCUGUACGGCAAGAUCGCCGAGGCCUUCCACCUGCCAACUGCCGAGGUGAUGAUCUGCACCCUGAACACCCGCAAAGUAGACAUGGACAAGCUCCUGGGAGGCCAGAUCCGGCUAGAGGAUUUCAUCUUCGCCCACGAGAAGGGGCAGUGCAAGGAGGCGGAGGUGUUCAAGUCGGAGGAUGCACUCGGGCUCACGAUCACGGACAACGGGGCUGGCUACGCCUUCAUCAAGCACAUCAAGGAGGGCAGUGUGAUCGACCACAUCCACGUCAUCAGCGUGGGUGACACGACUGAGGCCAUCAAGGGGCAGAGCCCGCUGGGCUGCCGGCACUACGAGGUGGCCCGGCUGCUCAAGGAGCUUCCCCGAGGCCGCACCUUCACGUUGAAACUCACAGAGCCUCGCAAGGCCUUUGACAUCAUCAGCCAGCAUUCAGCGGGUGGCCGCCCUGGCUGUGGCCGACUGGGCACUGGCCGAGGGACCCUGCGGCUCCGAUCCCGGGGCCCCGCCACAGUGGAGGAUCUGCCCUCUGCCUUUGAGGAGAAGGCCAUUGAGAAGGUGGAUGACCUGCUGGAGAGUUACAUGGGUAUCAGGGACACGGAGUUGGCGGCCACCAUGGUGGAGCUAGGAAAGGAUAAAAGGAACCAGAAUGAGCUGGCCAAGGCCUUAGAUGAACGGCUGGGGGACUUUGCCUUCCCCGAUGAGUUUGUCUUUGACGUCUGGGGCAUCACUGGGGACGCCAAAGUUGGCCUCUACUAGGACUUCCUCCGGACCCUGCGAUGAUGAUGACCCGGGUCCAACUUGGUGGGAGGCCCCCCCCCCCCCCCCCCCCCCCCGCAAGGUCACCAAUGUCAGGACCUGAACCUCCGACCUGAGCCUAGCUCAGCAGCCCCAGGACGAUGGGGAGGGGAGGUGGGGCUGGGCCCCCCACCCCGUUCCAAUUGGUACCAUCCCCUCCCUGGUUCUCAGUCUGGCCGGGGUUCCCGGCCGCCCCCGCCCCCUUGCCCUGUUCCCACCUACUUCAGCUGGGUCAGGCACGGGGAGGGGAGGGAUGGGUCACAUUGGGCGGCCACCUCCACCUCCUCCACUUUCCACCAUCAGCUGCCAAACUGGUCCCUCUGUCUCCCUGGAGCCUUGGGUUCUGUUUGGGGGUCAUGACCUUCCUAGUUUCCUGAGGCAGGGAAUACAGGGAAGGGGGUGUCACUCCCCACAGCA
Molecule: non-coding RNA, 1475 nt
Organism: Callithrix jacchus (white-tufted-ear marmoset)
Lineage: Eukaryota; Metazoa; Chordata; Mammalia; Primates; Cebidae
Source: RefSeq, a predicted model, not a curated record